CGAAUUGUUGACACGAGUUGUUGCUGGCCCCUCGAAGGGGGGCAUGUGCACGCUCUGUUUACACAUCCACCCACACCUGUGCACCCUCUGUAGUUCUGUGGCGUGAGGGACCCUGUCCCUCUGCUGCGGUUCUACGUCUUUAUACGCACCCUGUAGUGAAGUCUUAUGGAAUGUGUGCCGCGUUUAACGCAAUAAAUA
This 198-nucleotide unclassified non-coding RNA is filed under the name uncultured Thelephoraceae. RNAcentral's name for it is "sequence contains ITS1". Lineage: Eukaryota; Fungi; Basidiomycota; Agaricomycetes; Thelephorales; Thelephoraceae. The record is from RNAcentral.